GGACUACAAGGGUAUCUAAUCCUGUUUGAUCCCCACGCUAUCGCGCUUGAGUGUCAGAUACGAGCCAGUGAGCCGCCUUCGCCACCGGUGUUCUUCCCAAUAUCUACGAAUUUCACCUCUACACUGGGAAUUCCACUCACCUCUCUCGUCCUCGAGCCAAACAGUUUCAAUGGCAGUUCCGGAGUUGAGCUCCGGGCUUUCACCACUGACUUGGAUGGCCACCUGCGCGCGCUUUACGCCCAGUAAUUCCGAACAACGCUAGCCCCCUUCGUAUUACCGCGGCUGCUGGCAC
RNAcentral lists this ribosomal RNA (292 nucleotides) under uncultured bacterium. RNAcentral's name for it is "partial 16S ribosomal RNA". The record is from RNAcentral.